Molecule: non-coding RNA, 25 nt
Filed under: Rattus norvegicus (Norway rat)
Lineage: Eukaryota; Metazoa; Chordata; Mammalia; Rodentia; Muridae
Source: RNAcentral
UGAAUUAGGAAGCCACAGUCUACAC